AUGAGAGCUACACGAUUAUUUAAGGACCCUUAUUUUGGUGAGCAGAUAGGUUUCUUGGUGACUCCGAGUCCCUCAUGCCCUUGGCAUUUCCGGUUCCGACUUCCGUUCAGGUUUUUGUCACGGCGUAGUGAGGUGAACAUCUCAAGGAUAAUUUGUUUGUUUUUAUAUUUUUAGGGCGGUGUUGGUGGCGCGUGCAUUGAGGCGAAUUGGCGCCGGAGAUCGCAACAUUUAGCCGGUGGCUGAAUAUGUGUGUGUAUGUCGAGCUGCGGUACCUGUGAAUAAUCAUACAACUUCGCGUCUGGUGUUUGUUCAAUCUAAUGGAUCCAGUGAGUCAUGGUGGGACAGGGGAGGCUAGCUGCAUUUAGUCGGUGGUGUGAUUCACAGCGAGCUCAGUGUGCCAACACAACUUCUAUAUGGUGCAGUGUAUGAUUUUUAGUGUGAUUUUUGGUGUGACGCGGUUUGUUUGGAUGACCUCCCGAGUUGUAGUUGGCCUGCCUUGUCCCUGCCCAGCCUGGGCUUGGAGAAGUUCUUGGUUUUAAAACUCUUAUUGCGCUUCAUGGGAAAGCGAUUUUAUAUUUUCAUGUUAAGUUUUAAAUGAUGCUGAAGUGUCAUAAUAAAAUGUAAUUUUUUUAUA
Ictalurus punctatus (channel catfish) is the source of this 634-nucleotide long non-coding RNA. RefSeq lists it as uncharacterized. The record is from RefSeq and is a predicted model, not a curated record. NCBI's taxonomy places the organism in Eukaryota, Metazoa, Chordata, Actinopteri, Siluriformes, Ictaluridae. The transcript has 2 exons.